RNAcentral lists this long non-coding RNA (1347 nucleotides) under Balaenoptera musculus (blue whale). RNAcentral's name for it is "lncRNA (ENSBMSG00010002052.1)". Lineage: Eukaryota; Metazoa; Chordata; Mammalia; Artiodactyla; Balaenopteridae. The record is from RNAcentral.
AUGUCAGCAGAGUCGGUGGAAACACAAGUAAGGCAGCCAAAGGGGCUGUCUGGGACUGGUGAGUCGUCGGAGUUAUCUGGGGCAGACAGGGUCUCCUUAAGCCGAGGUUUGGAUGUGUGCAUCGCUGCCGCCAGGCAGGAAAAGCUAGGCCUCCGGGGCACCCUGGGCACAGGCCUGCGCCCCAAGGGCGGCGGUGGCCCGGUGGAGCCCCUUGGAGCUCUGGCAGGGAAGCGAGCCAGGGCAUCGCGGAGGGCCAGGGUCCGGGGCACCGCACAGGGCGCGAGAGCGGAAACGCGCCCGGGCUGGCUCACUGCGGACAGCUCUCUCCUUUCCCCUUUCUUGAGGGUCGGGGAACCUGACCCACCGCCCUCUCGCUCCAGCGGGGCACUCUCACCCCCGCCCAGGACACUUCCCAGCCCCUCGGGCAGAGCUGCCCCGGGCCGCCUUGCCCUGGACUCCGAGCCGCGCCAAAGCCCACGGAGCCUGGACCCCCGGACCCGCUCCCCGAGGCCGGCUGCACCGCCCACGGCUGCAGUCCCGCCGGCCGUCCGCUGGCCUGGGAUCGGGGGGCGGGGAGUUCCGGGAGCCGGGAGCUAUUUUUACAAGAUGCGUCAGUGGGCCGAGGAGGAAGAGCCUGCUCCGGGGCCCAUUGUCUGGGCGCUGCGCGGGAGGGGACGCCGGCGGCGAUUUCGAAAGCUCCGAAGGGCGCGAAAGCCGCCGGCCGCGAGGGGAGGUCCACGCCCCACCCGGGGCCGCGGGAGGGGCGGGGCCAUUGGGGCGGGGCGGGGCGGGGCGGGGCGGGGCGGGGCGGGGCCCGCGAGGGGCGGAGCCGGGCGCCCUCCCGCCGCUGCAGGCUGGCGGCGGCGGCGGCGGCGGCAGCGAGGGGACGGCGGGGACAGGCAGGCGGCCGCGCCGGCAGCAACAGCCGGGGAAGCCCACGCCCCGCCUGCACCUCCGAGGCGCGCCCCGGGAGCGGGAGCGGCCCCGCGGCGGCCCCGCCCAGGCAGAGGCGAGCGCCUGGCACCCGGAGCCCCGAGCCGGCAGCCGCGGAAAGCCCGGGCAGCGGCGGGAGCGCGGGGGCGCGGCCCGAAGGAGCCGCAGAGCGAGCCGGGGCCGGGGGGGGGGGGAGGGCGCCGGGCGCGAGCAUCCCGCGCCGCGGCAGCGGAGGCGGCUUCACGGGAGACAAAAGCCCGCCGAGAGACGCGAUGCCCGGCCGGCGCGGGCGCGGGGGCCGCGGCGUCUGAGCGCGCCGAGCCGUGCGCCCCGGGGACGCCGAGGCUCGGCCGGUGCCCGCGGCGGAGGGCGGCAGGCGGGGCCCAGGUGCGCCCGGCCGCGUCGGGCCCGUAA